Molecule: ribosomal RNA, 758 nt
Filed under: Caulobacteraceae bacterium
Lineage: Bacteria; Pseudomonadati; Pseudomonadota; Alphaproteobacteria; Caulobacterales; Caulobacteraceae
Description: bacterial SSU rRNA
Rfam family: Bacterial small subunit ribosomal RNA
Source: RNAcentral
CGAACGCUGGCGGCAGGCCUAACACAUGCAAGUCGAACGAACUCUUCGGAGUUAGUGGCGGACGGGUGAGUAACACGUGGGAACGUGCCUUUUGGUUCGGAAUAACUCAGGGAAACUUGUGCUAAUACCGAAUGUGCCCUUCGGGGGAAAGAUUUAUCGCCAUUAGAGCGGCCCGCGUCUGAUUAGCUAGUUGGUGAGGUAAAGGCUCACCAAGGCGACGAUCAGUAGCUGGUCUGAGAGGAUGAUCAGCCACAUUGGGACUGAGACACGGCCCAAACUCCUACGGGAGGCAGCAGUGGGGAAUCUUGCGCAAUGGGCGAAAGCCUGACGCAGCCAUGCCGCGUGAAUGAUGAAGGUCUUAGGAUUGUAAAAUUCUUUCACCGGGGACGAUAAUGACGGUACCCGGAGAAGAAGCCCCGGCUAACUUCGUGCCAGCAGCCGCGGUAAUACGAAGGGGGCUAGCGUUGCUCGGAAUUACUGGGCGUAAAGGGAGCGUAGGCGGACAUUUAAGUCAGGGGUGAAAUCCCGGGGCUCAACCUCGGAAUUGCCUUUGAUACUGGGUGUCUUGAGUAUGAGAGAGGUAUGUGGAACUCCGAGUGUAGAGGUGAAAUUCGUAGAUAUUCGGAAGAACACCAGUGGCGAAGGCGACAUACUGGCUCAUUACUGACGCUGAGGCUCGAAAGCGUGGGGAGCAAACAGGAUUAGAUACCCUGGUAGUCCACGCCGUAAACGAUGAUUGCUAGUUGUCGGGAUGCAUG